This 453-nucleotide long non-coding RNA is filed under the name Homo sapiens (human). Its description in RNAcentral is "PREDICTED lncRNA (TCONS_00012363)". The record is from RNAcentral. Lineage: Eukaryota; Metazoa; Chordata; Mammalia; Primates; Hominidae.
GCACUUCUUCCUGUCACCAUGUGAAGAAGGACAUGUUUGCUUCCCCUUCCACCAUGAUUGUAAGUUUCCUGAGGACUCCCCAGCCCUGCGGAACUAGGAGACUGGAAUGUGAAUUGAUGGACUGAGUGAGAAAUAUUCACCCACAAUGUGAGCAGACACCAUCCAAUCAACUAAGAGCCCAAAUAGGACCCAAAAAAGCAAAGAAAAGGCACUCUCCUGGAAUGGGGACACUCCUCUUCUCCUGUCCUUGGACAUCAGAACUCUAGGCUCUCUGACAUUUGGACUCCAGGCUUUAUACCAGCAACUCCCUAGUUUCCCACCAAAACCCAGGUUCCUGGCCCUUAGCCUCAGACUAAGAAUUACACCAUCAGCUUCCCAGGGAACUUGGACGGAGAUACGUUACCAGCAUCCCAAGGUCUCCAGCUUCCAGAUGGCCUGUCUUGGGAAUUUUCA